This 253-nucleotide ribosomal RNA is filed under the name uncultured bacterium. RNAcentral describes it as "partial 16S ribosomal RNA". It matches the Rfam family "Bacterial small subunit ribosomal RNA", at positions 524 to 776 of the family's 1533-position model. The record is from RNAcentral.
UACGGAGGGGGCUAGCGUUGUUCGGAAUUACUGGGCGUAAAGCGCGCGUAGGCGGCUUUGUAAGUUAGAGGUGAAAGCCCGGGGCUCAACUCCGGAAUUGCCUUUAAGACUGCAUCGCUAGAAUCGUGGGGAGGUAAGUGGAAUUCCGAGUGUAGAGGUGAAAUUCGUAGAUAUUCGGAAGAACACCAGUGGCGAAGGCGACUUACUGGACACGUAUUGACGCUGAGGUGCGAAAGCGUGGGGAGCAAACAGG